CCGGACUUCCACAGUCAACGUUCCCACCCGCUCAGACGGCACCUGUGGUUUUUAACCCGGCACCGACCUCACAAAUGAAUACGCCUUCCCAGCCGCGACAGUUUCCAGCAGGGCCUCGUGCUAUUCACCAGCAGGGAGGAUUCAGGUCUCUUCAGGUAACGCUUUUUUCCGUGCCGCUUCCCAGCCUUGCCCUGGGCGAACGGGGCGCGCGCGCGGACGC
Tinamus guttatus (white-throated tinamou) is the source of this 220-nucleotide non-coding RNA. The record is from RefSeq and is a predicted model, not a curated record. Lineage: Eukaryota; Metazoa; Chordata; Aves; Tinamiformes; Tinamidae.